RNAcentral lists this ribosomal RNA (1069 nucleotides) under Klebsiella pneumoniae. RNAcentral's name for it is "partial 23S ribosomal RNA". It matches the Rfam family "Bacterial large subunit ribosomal RNA", at positions 125 to 1238 of the family's 2925-position model. Lineage: Bacteria; Pseudomonadati; Pseudomonadota; Gammaproteobacteria; Enterobacterales; Enterobacteriaceae. The record is from RNAcentral. RNAcentral also lists the same sequence under 1 other name.
AACCCAGUGCAAUUCGUUGCACUAUCGUUAACUGAAUACAUAGGUUAACGAGGCGAACCGGGGGAACUGAAACAUCUAAGUACCCCGAGGAAAAGAAAUCAACCGAGAUUCCCCCAGUAGCGGCGAGCGAACGGGGAGCAGCCCAGAGUCUGAAUCAGCUUGUGUGUUAGUGGAACGGUCUGGAAAGUCCGACGGUACAGGGUGAUAGUCCCGUACACCAAAAUGCACAGGUUGUGAACUCGAAGAGUAGGGCGGGACACGUGGUAUCCUGUCUGAAUAUGGGGGGACCAUCCUCCAAGGCUAAAUACUCCUGACUGACCGAUAGUGAACCAGUACCGUGAGGGAAAGGCGAAAAGAACCCCGGCGAGGGGAGUGAAAAAGAACCUGAAACCGUGUACGUACAAGCAGUGGGAGCACCUUCGGGUGUGACUGCGUACCUUUUGUAUAAUGGGUCAGCGACUUAUAUUCUGUAGCAAGGUUAACCGUAUAGGGGAGCCGCAGGGAAACCGAGUCUUAACUGGGCGUUAAGUUGCAGGGUAUAGACCCGAAACCCGGUGAUCUAGCCAUGGGCAGGUUGAAGGUUGGGUAACACUAACUGGAGGACCGAACCGACUAAUGUUGAAAAAUUAGCGGAUGACUUGUGGCUGGGGGUGAAAGGCCAAUCAAACCGGGAGAUAGCUGGUUCUCCCCGAAAGCUAUUUAGGUAGCGCCUCGUGAAUUCAUCUUCGGGGGUAGAGCACUGUUUCGGCUAGGGGGUCAUCCCGACUUACCAACCCGAUGCAAACUACGAAUACCGAAGAAUGUUAUCACGGGAGACACACGGCGGGUGCUAACGUCCGUCGUGAAGAGGGAAACAACCCAGACCGCCAGCUAAGGUCCCAAAGUCAUGGUUAAGUGGGAAACGAUGUGGGAAGGCACAGACAGCCAGGAUGUUGGCUUAGAAGCAGCCAUCAUUUAAAGAAAGCGUAAUAGCUCACUGGUCGAGUCGGCCUGCGCGGAAGAUGUAACGGGGCUAAACCAUGCACCGAAGCUGCGGCAGCGACACUAUGUGUUGUUGGGUAGGGGAGCG